Lynx canadensis (Canada lynx) is the source of this 5288-nucleotide long non-coding RNA. RefSeq lists it as uncharacterized. The transcript is spliced from 2 exons. Lineage: Eukaryota; Metazoa; Chordata; Mammalia; Carnivora; Felidae. The record is from RefSeq and is a predicted model, not a curated record.
GAGCCACUCUCGGCAGAGCGGUUCCCGGCGCCUCCCUUCAGCCUCGCCCCGCCUCUCGUCGCCUUUCCCGCCGACCCGACCUGCGACCUUUCUCCCACCGCCUGGACCGUGCACCCGCAGCGGUGGGCCUCGGAACCCCUCUCGCCUCAGCCACACCACCCAGCGCCCGGGUCUACGCCGCACACGGCGGUAGCGGCGGGCGCGGAGGCCGCGGCUGGGAGGGUGCGGGGCCCCGCGGGGUGCCGGCCGCGCAGCGUCUCGCCGCCGUCAGUGCUCGCUGGGCGCGAGGGGACCGUCGCGCCUGGCUCAGCCUCCCGUUCGUGCCCUCGGACGGCAGCCCGCUGCUGAAAGCAGGCGGGCGGAGCGGGCGCGGAAGAAACCCCGGAGGAGGGUUAAGAGCUAACUUUCCCAGGGCUGCUCAUGGGAUCUUGCAGGCUGUCUGCCGUGACUUCAGAGGGCACCAGCGAGACAAUGCAGCAUGAUCUCCUUCUUCUGUAAGGGACCCUAAGUGGUGUCCAACAUUUCAUCCAUGUCAAUGUGACUUGACUGACGCAUCUGACCUUGUCCAGAUUUCUAGGUCAAAGGAGGUGACCGUUUUUGUCCUUUGACGACUUCUCCGGCUCUUGAGGCAAUUCCAUGCCAAUGAGCUUAGCUUGGCUGGUUAGCAAGUAAGGUGGGAACUGGCGUGGAAGAAGGGAACUGGUGGUUCUUGGAGAACUUUGAAACCCGUGCUUUGAUGUUUUAAUUUUACUUAAGGGAUUUGGGGGCAUCGAGGCUUUUUGAGAAUGACGGUAAUGUUAGAAGUCCGACGGAAGAAAGAUUCCUUUGACUUGGGGUCAGAUGCACGAGAGGAAGAUGGGGAGAUUAGAGAAGGUCCAUUAAGAGAUGAUUAGAAUAACGCUGGGAGGAUGUCAGCCUUGAAACCGUGAACGGCUUUAAACAUCACUUAGGUUCCUAUUUUAUGAUUAAUGGUUGUGUGCCACUGAAUUCGGACCCAAUCUAGACCUCAGCGGUGCAGCGUUGGUUCUGCCAUGAUGCGGUUACUCUUUGGAAAUGAGAAUACAAUUUAAUCAUACGGCUCUGCCAUUCAGAGGGACCUUCCUGCUCACUCGGCCCCCGGGACUGGACUCUCGACCGGGUGCCGAGCCUUGUUUGCUGCCUGUGAGGUUAGGCACCAACUGCCUCUCAGGCCACCGCAGUUGUCACAACUGGCAGAUCUGCUUCACCACUGCAGGCCAUGUCCUGAUCCAAACAGAAACUUGAAUCUGCUCGCACAUGCGUCUUUUUCCAGGCUCCAGUCCAAUAUCCCAUAGUAGCUUCAGCUACUUUUUACUAAACACAUCUCUGGGUUUCGAUGUGGUUUCCCCUCGGUGAUUCUUUUUCUGAGGUUUAUCUCAUGCCUUCCUCUGGAUUUUGCAGUCCCUGGAUCAUCAGAAAUGAAUCUUUGGAGCUGCCUCGGCCUGAGCGUUUUCACUCCCAAGUUUUCACUUGAUUUAAGCUUUGAGAGUGCACGAAGUCCUAGAGGGGAUAGACGUCCAAGGUCUAGAUUGUGACAAGAACUGCCUUCUGCCAGAACACCAUUUCCACCAGCACAUCUUAUUUUCCUUCUGUUUCAUACACACUUGGUCUUGUUCUGGAAGUUACUGGCUGGGGAGAAGAGGACAGAAGUGCACGGUUUCCAUGGGCAACAAGUGUGAUUGUUCAUGAUAGUGUGUGACAAGGAAGAAAGAUAGACAAUUACAUAUCGUAAGAUCUUAAUUUUGUUACAACCAAGAAUUAAAACAAAACAAAUAUAUAUAUGUGUGUGUAUAUAUAUAUAUAUAUAUAUAUACAUAUAUAUACACAGAUUUAAAAACUAGAAAAAUCCAUAAAAUCUUAACACCAGUGAUUUCUAAGUAGAGGAAUUACAAUUUUUUGCUUAUUUUUCUUUUCCUCCACAAGUUGUUUAAAAUAAAGAUGUACUGCUUUUAUAAUGAGGGAAAAAAAUAAGGAUAAUGAGUAUCUUGAAAUCACAAAGGAACACAGAGGGCUUAAAACUUUCUUUGUGCUUGGUGGAAGACAGGAGAUACAGAAUCGGAGGCAAUGCAAAGCAGGCCCUUUGCUUUUUCAUGCCAGCUGCUUCCAGAGGUGGUCAGUGAGUGACUGUCACCCCUGAGGGGCCAGGGGCAGUUGUGAUGGGGACGUGCCCGGCACCAUGCCACACCUGCGGCUUCCUUAGAUAGUCCGACAGGAGUGACCAGUGUUGCAAGUCCUAUUAUUUUGAGUACCAGCCAUAUAUAAUCAUCCUAGAGUCUUGUUCUGAAUGCUGGUACAUUCCAGACAAUUCCAGUACAUUCCAGUACAGUCCAGUCCACUCAUUCUUUUAAAAAAGAGGCGGUUGAGAAGUGUGAUAACUGACGUGACAGGUUUGCCUAAAUUCAAGUACUUUCCUGAAAUCUGUAUGUAAAACUACACCAGGAAAGGCCAGAGUCAUUACUUACGGGAGUACCCAGGGGGGACCCUUGCUCAUUUCGAUCCCUUCCUUCUGCAUCAUGUGCCCCUCCUGGCAUCUCCCUGGCAAUGCCAGGACCAGGGUGUUGCAGCUCCCACAGAGAAGCCCACAACUUAGAAGGAUUAGAAGGAAUAAGAAGUCUUUUUGCUUCUGUUUUUGAGGGGGAUGGUUUUGCCCUGGUGGCUCCCUUUUCACUGAGAAGCAUGAAACAUACUCGUCUCCUCCUCCUCCGUGGGGUCUCAAAGAACCACGGUUUCCUGCCCCAUUUGACCACAGUGGAGCCUCUCCGGAAUUCCCACAGAUUUGUGGGAUUUGAGGGCAGAGCUGGAAUAAACGUCUUCUCAGCAACCAUAAUCACUGGGGUUGGGACCUCACUGGACUGAGAGGGAACCUGGGUUACCCCAAGCAAUACCGGGAGGUGAGAGAAGUGUGUCUCCUGCCCCUAGACUUUUCUAUACCUUGCUCUUUUUUUCAACCCCAUCUGGGGAGGAUCUCAAGAACCAACUCAACCCAAGCGGGGAUGACAAAGGAGACUUAAACUAUUCCUUCUCUCAGGACAUGCCUUUUGAUUGGGGAAGAAGACCGAAGCCAGUGGAAUCAGGGGCUAAUUAUGACAUCUCAGGCAUCUGGUAUCAGAUAAGGGAGGUGUUGGGUAGCGAUGGAUGUUGAAAAUAAUCCUACUCCAGCUCUGAAAUCAAUUCAAUCAUUCAUUACUUAACAAAUAUUUAUUGAGCACCUAUAACGCAUGAGGCACUAUACACAAUGAAGAACAAUACAGACAUCGUCUUUACCCUCAUGGAGCUCCAGGUUAGCUCUGGACAAGCAAUACAUUAUUCCAUGAAAUCAUGAGACUCAUUUUCACUGGUGGCUUAUGAAAAGAAAUUCCAUUUUAUUUGAGUAGCGCUUGCAUUUUGCUCAGUGGUCUUGGUAUCUUCAGAAGUCAUCUGGUCACACAUCAUAUAGAAGCAUUCUAUUCAUACUAUUUUUACCUGGUCCAUAGAGCAUCAAGUUGAUUAAAACAAAUUUAAUUCUUUAGUAAACAAUGGAAUAGUAGUUUGGUGUAUCUGGGAUUUCCCUGUUGGACGCAUCUGGCGUGUGUGUGCGCAUGUGUGCGUGUGUGUGCGUUUGCCUACCCAGCAUUAUUCCCUUUGGUAACAGCACCCCAUUUGAGCUCUGUUGUUCCCAUUCACAGUCCUUGCCGAUUGCACAGGAUUGACCCUUAGCUCCUGGCAGGGGGUCAGGGUGGUGGUGUCAUGUGACCCAGGCCUGGCCAAUCUGAACUCUGAACUCUGCACCUCCUUGGUCACAAAGACUGGUUCAGCUAGGAACAUGUGAUCCACAGGGGCCUAUAGAAAACCUUUUCAGGAUUCCCCCCCUCCCCCCCCCCCCGUUAUCAGAAAAGAAUCUGCUUUUCUCAAUUGGUUUGCAGGCUGUGAAGAGCCUGGUUGGGAAUAUGGCCAACACAGAGGAAAGCAGAGACCAAGAAUGAGAGGUUUCUGAUACUGAGUGUUGUAUUUAGGCCUAUCCAUGGAUUUGUAUGUUACUCAGUAUAUAGGUAGGGAGAGAGAGAAAGGCAGGGGGAGAGAGGGAGAGAGAGGUUGAUUCAUAUAGUUUUGUUUUUCAUCAGCCAAUUUGAGUUGGGCUUCUUUCAUUAGCAACUGAAGGUCCUCAUUCAUUCAACUAAACUAUUACACUCCCUAAAGUAUUUAAUCAAAAGAAGAUGAUGAACCGAUUGCCUGUCCACUAGUUUCUUCCUUUUACUGGACAUAUAUUUAUUGUCUAGUCUACUGAUCACAGGCCCAAACCAACGUGGUUCAGGGUGACCUCAGUGAGGAGAGUGGAGGGCUCAGACCCCGGGGCUUCUUGUGGUCAUCUGGUUCCACAUGCAACUGAAACAGUGUCACAGCCCCCUAUUAAACACUGGCAUAUCCUUUCAAAGCAUCCGGGGUUUUUUCCUUGCUCCGUUUCUGGAGAAAGGAAGGAUACAGUUUAAAAUUCAAGCUGGAUGACAAAGGUACAGGAGGAGGGACUCUGUCCCCUUUCUUUAGCCUUGUAGCUGUGAAGAACCAGUGUUUUAUUUCAAGCCUAUUAGGGAAGCCCGAAGGAAACACAAUCUUCCUGGCCCGGUAAGGACCUGGAGCUACCUAAGACAGCCAUAGAUUCCUUUGAUCCUCAACUUUGAGAUCCCAGAUCUGCAAAUGCAACACAUAAUCAGAGUUGUUUCGGGAAAGGAGAGUGAUAACCAGCUGGCCUAGCCUGUGGCAGGACCCGAGGUUCUGAGGUUCCUGCACUUUGUGAACUCCCUGCUGAGAGCCCCCAUCACUAAUGACAACCUCUGGGAAUAGGGUCUCUGUUUUCUCACAAAAGAGAUUCAGGAAUGUGACUAAUAGGGACCCAGGCAGACAGAAAGGUAUUCUGACCCCAUCACACCUGCUCCUUCAGUGUCACAUUCCUGUCAUUUUGUAUUGCUCCUUACUCACCUGCUGCUGUAAGGUGUAGCCGCUCCAGACAAAAAAUCGUUUCAUCUUCACAUCUACAUCCCAUGCUUUCUGUUCCAGUCCUUUUUCAAGUCAAGGAAAGUGGCAGAUGUCCCCUUUAUGUCACACAUGCUCAUAAUCAUGCACACAUUCACUAAACUCUGGUCUGAAUAUGCGUGCGUGUAGAAAUAACCCAAAGACAUAUAUAAUCGUUUGCGGGGGGGGGGUGUAUACAUCUCUGUUGAUGAUAGAUAGAUAGAUGAUUGGAUGGACAGAUAUACAUUAUAUAGACCUCAAAUUAACUGAAACACACAUCUCUC